GUCGAAGUCUCCGAAGAUUUGUUGCGGUUUGGUGUGUCUUUUAUUUUUACGUGGAACUCAUAUCGAUCCGAUAUGCCGCGUCCGAAAAUGGAUUUUGCGACUAAUAAGUGGCGAGGCACCACGCGAGCAAGGAUGAACAGCCCUGGAGGUUAUGGGCACUGCUCAAUUGGCUCAUUCCUCGGUGCUUCUCGAAGGCCUGGUCAAGGAGGAGUUGCUCAGUGAACUACUAGUUUGAGUUCCCUGAGACGGACACCACUGACAUCACCUACAGUGCCGAGGUACAGGCUUAAUGGCAGAUAUCAAUAGGAGAUGAUGGUACGCGUCACGUCUGUUUGGUUGGACAGCCACCAAGUUGACUUGGAUGUCAGCGCCUGUUGUCAUCAGAACCUGGUUCUUGUGCUGCCACAUCAUUUUUGGUGGUGGCGCUGUCGUCACCUCCCAGCGCUUGCGCUCCCCGAGUUCCCAUUCAAGAUGGUGCUGCCACGGACUUUGGCUCGUGGGGGUGCCGUCGCUACUGACAAAGCCUGUGCUCCCCGUCGUCCCUGUUGAAAUGGUGGCUGGAACUUGGAGAGGGUUUGCUGCCACAGCCGGAUCCAGUGUUACAUUUUUGUGGCUUUUUGGUUGUUUCCCAAUUAUUGAAGGGAGUUGCAGGCUUAUCAUGGGCGACACAGUGCUUUGGUGAGUGUAC
Molecule: long non-coding RNA, 688 nt
Filed under: Ixodes scapularis (black-legged tick)
Lineage: Eukaryota; Metazoa; Arthropoda; Arachnida; Ixodida; Ixodidae
Description: uncharacterized LOC120844909, transcript variant X2
Source: RNAcentral